Micropterus salmoides (largemouth bass) is the source of this 1159-nucleotide long non-coding RNA. RefSeq lists it as uncharacterized. NCBI's taxonomy places the organism in Eukaryota, Metazoa, Chordata, Actinopteri, Centrarchiformes, Centrarchidae. The transcript has 3 exons. The record is from RefSeq and is a predicted model, not a curated record.
AUUCACAUGGUAUAACAAUGCUUCAUUCUCAAUUACAGACUUAUUGAAUUGAAACCUAAUUGCACAAGUAACAUAAGGAGCCCUUCCAUUUAGACCUAAUCUGCAUUUGUGUUGACAGAUGUGUAUGAGAUUGCCUGUGCAAAGCUGCUAGAGGCAACAAUUACCUCUGAUCUAAAUACUGAAGAUGAGGAUAACAGGCCAGAGUACAUGAAGAGAAAGAAUAAGUAGGAGUGGCCCAUAAUUUCCUUUUAUGGCCGUGUCAAAAGUUACAAUACACCUGGGCAAACAAUUAGGCCUCAAGCUAGAGGGCCUUACAAUGCACUCAUGACAAAACCAACUUUAUAAUUUAUAACUAUAAUUUAUUAUUCACUCCAAUGACAAACUGACAUCCCAAUGUAAUCAAUGUUAGAGGCUGUAAAAGAAUAGUAAGCAGCAGUGAAGAGGAGGAAGAGGAGCAGGAGAGUACUGCUGCACCUCGUGCUCCAACCAAAAAGAAAUCUUACACUCCACUUGCACCAGCCCCCUGCAUCCCAUCUCUUGGUGGUAGGCCUGUUGCAGUUGUUACAGUGGUUUUCCAUUAAUCUUUUAUUAAACAUCUGGUUGAAACUAACAUAACAGCCAAUUGUACCUUUGUGACAGCUCUGGGUGAAGGGAGUCAGCCAGCUGGUCAAGGUUUUUGGUCCCUAGGCCAUCUUUCAGAGACCACAGUUGAUCCCCCUUCUGAUGCAAACAGCUCAGGAACAGGUCCGUGGGCUUCUCCCCUUUCAGCGAACAUCACAGGGGCUAGUCCACCACCGUGGUCUCAAGUCUCCACUACCAACAGCCUGAGGGCUACACCUCCUACUGACACCCCAACCCAUGCAGCAGCUGGCAGAAGCCAUCAAGCCAAACUGGAUAUCAAAACACCCCGCAAGUACAUGACACACAGAACAGGUCUUCUCGGGAGGCUGGGCCUACAGCAAUUGCCAAGGAGAUCCUCAUCCAGCUUGAUUCUAUAAGAGAGCAGCAGUUGCUCAUCCUGGUGCUGCUCCAAAAAAUAUCCAGCAGUCAAGCAGUUCCAAACUUCACGCCAGACCCAACACAUUUUGGGAUCCCACUUUCAACUACUGAGGAGCUACAAUGUUUGGAGGAGACAUUAAAGAAUCCAGAGGAGAAGAAG